This 840-nucleotide ribosomal RNA is filed under the name Faecalibaculum rodentium. Its description in RNAcentral is "bacterial LSU rRNA". It matches the Rfam family "Bacterial large subunit ribosomal RNA", at positions 704 to 1549 of the family's 2925-position model. The record is from RNAcentral. Lineage: Bacteria; Bacillati; Bacillota; Erysipelotrichia; Erysipelotrichales; Erysipelotrichaceae.
AUGGAGCAGACCCGAAACCGGGUGAUCUAGCCAUGGGCAGGUUGAAGCAGAAGUGAAAUUCUGUGGAGGACCGAACCGACUACCGUUGAAAAGUUAGCGGAUGACCUGUGGCUAGGGGAGAAAUUCCAAUCGAACCCGGAGAUAGCUGGUUCUCCCCGAAAUAGCUUUAGGGCUAGCGUCGGAGGAUGACAGACGGAGGUAGAGCACUGAACGCAUGAUGGCCCCAUCCCGGGGUACUGAAUGCGAUCAAACUGCGAAUGCCGACUGGGAGGAAUCCGGCAGUGAGACUGUGGGUGAUAAGGUCCAUGGUCGAGAGGGAAAGAGCCCAGACCGCCAGCAAAGGUCCCAAAAUACUGGCUAAGUGGAAAAGGAUGUGGGGACGCACGGACAGCUAGGAGGUUGGCUCAGAAGCAGCCAUCCUUGAAAGAGUGCGUAACAGCUCACUAGUCGAGUGGCCCUGCGCCGAAAAUGUACCGGGGCUUAAGCCAGGUACCGAAGCUGCGGAUGUAUAUGGAAGUAUAUGUGGUAGGGGAGCGUUGCAUGCAGGAAGAAGUAUGACGGAGACGGCAUAUGGACAGCAUGGAAGAGAGAAUGCCGGUGUGAGUAGCGAGAUGCAGGUGAGAAUCCUGCACACCGAAAGCCCAAGGAUUCCAGGGGAAGGUUCGUCCGCCCUGGGUAAGUCGGGACCUAACGUGAGGCCGAAAGGCGCAGCGGAUGGAAAGCAGGCGGAGAUUCCUGCACCCGUAUAUGGAGCGAAGGAGUGACGGAGAAGGCAGAUGCGACCCUCUUACUGGAUUGAGGGCCAAGCGAAGCAGGUGGUAUCCAGGCAAAUCCGGAUAC